CAGCCGCCGCGGUAAUACGGAGGGAGCUAGCGUUGUUCGGAAUUACUGGGCGUAAAGCGCACGUAGGCGGUUAUUCAAGUCAGAGGUGAAAGCCCGGGGCUCAACCCCGGAACUGCCUUUGAAACUAGAUGACUGGAAUCUUGGAGAGGUCAGUGGAAUUCCGAGUGUAGAGGUGAAAUUCGUAGAUAUUCGGAAGAACACCAGUGGCGAAGGCGACUGACUGGACAAGUAUUGACGCUGAGGUGCGAAAGCGUGGGGAGCAAACAGGAUUAGAUACCCGCGUAGUCCCUGUCUCUUAUAC
This 301-nucleotide ribosomal RNA is filed under the name uncultured bacterium. RNAcentral describes it as "partial 16S ribosomal RNA". It matches the Rfam family "Bacterial small subunit ribosomal RNA", at positions 509 to 807 of the family's 1533-position model. The record is from RNAcentral.